This 734-nucleotide ribosomal RNA is filed under the name Actinomycetes bacterium. RNAcentral describes it as "bacterial SSU rRNA". It matches the Rfam family "Bacterial small subunit ribosomal RNA", at positions 81 to 830 of the family's 1533-position model. The record is from RNAcentral. Lineage: Bacteria; Bacillati; Actinomycetota; Actinomycetes.
CGGGCGGGGAUUAGUGGCGAACGGGUGAGUAACACGUGGGCAAUCUGCCCUGCACUCUGGGACAAGCCCUGGAAACGGGGUCUAAUACCGGAUAUGACUGUCCAUCGCAUGGUGGAUGGUGUAAAGCUCCGGCGGUGCAGGAUGAGCCCGCGGCCUAUCAGCUUGUUGGUGAGGUAGUGGCUCACCAAGGCGACGACGGGUAGCCGGCCUGAGAGGGCGACCGGCCACACUGGGACUGAGACACGGCCCAGACUCCUACGGGAGGCAGCAGUGGGGAAUAUUGCACAAUGGGCGAAAGCCUGAUGCAGCGACGCCGCGUGAGGGAUGACGGCCUUCGGGUUGUAAACCUCUUUCAGCAGGGAAGAAGCGAAAGUGACGGUACCUGCAGAAGAAGCGCCGGCUAACUACGUGCCAGCAGCCGCGGUAAUACGUAGGGCGCAAGCGUUGUCCGGAAUUAUUGGGCGUAAAGAGCUCGUAGGCGGCUUGUCACGUCGGUUGUGAAAGCCCGGGGCUUAACCCCGGGUCUGCAGUCGAUACGGGCAGGCUAGAGUUCGGUAGGGGAGAUCGGAAUUCCUGGUGUAGCGGUGAAAUGCGCAGAUAUCAGGAGGAACACCGGUGGCGAAGGCGGAUCUCUGGGCCGAUACUGACGCUGAGGAGCGAAAGCGUGGGGAGCGAACAGGAUUAGAUACCCUGGUAGUCCACGCCGUAAACGGUGGGCACUAGGUGUGGGCAAC